UCUGGAAACUNUCUGACUUGAGUGCAGAAGGGGAGAGUGGAAUUCCAUGUGUAGCGGUGAAAUGCGUAGAUAUAUGGAGGAACACCAGUGGCGAAAGCGGCUCUCUGGUCUGUCACUGACGCUGAGGCUCGAAAGCGUGGGUAGCGAACAGGAUUAGAUACCCUGGUAGUCCACGCCGUAAACGAUGAGUGCUAGGUGUUAGGCCCUUUCCGGGGCUUAGUGCCGGAGCUAACGCAAUAAGCACUCCGCCUGGGGAGUACGACCGCAAGGUUGAAACUCAAAGGAAUUGACGGGGGCCCGCACAAGCGGUGGAGCAUGUGGUUUAAUUCGAAGCAACGCGAAGAACCUUACCAGGUCUUGACAUCCCGAUGCUAUUCUUAGGGAUAGGAAGUUACUUCGGUACAUCGGAGACAGGUGGUGCAUGGUUGUCGUCAGCUCGUGUCGUGAGAUGUUGGGUUAAGUCCCGCAACGAGCGCAACCCUUAUUGUUAGUUGCCAUCAUUAAGUUGGGCACUCUAGCGAGACUGCCGGUAAUAAACCGGAGGAAGGUGGGGAUGACGUCAAAUCAUCAUGCCCCUUAUGACCUGGGCUACACACGUGCUACAAUGGUCGGUACAACGAGUUGCGAGCCGGUGACGGCAAGCUAAUCUCUGAAAGCCGAUCUCAGUUCGGAUUGGAGGCUGCAACUCGCCUCCAUGAAGUCGGAAUCGCUAGUAAUCGCGGAUCAGCACGCCGCGGUGAAUACGUUCCCGGGCCUUGUACACACCGCCCGUCACACCACGAGAGUUUGUAACACCCGAAGUCGGUGAGGUUACCUUUUAGGGGCUAGCCGCCUAAGG
Molecule: ribosomal RNA, 838 nt
Filed under: uncultured bacterium
Lineage: Bacteria
Description: bacterial SSU rRNA
Rfam family: Bacterial small subunit ribosomal RNA
Source: RNAcentral